GGAUGUGAGGGUGAUCUAGCUAUAACAUAUGUCAUCCCACUGAUCACCAGGGUUGAUUCCGCUGACCUGGCUGGCCAGGCAAAAGUCCCCUUGUCCCCUCACCGCUCCAUGUGUGUCCCUCCUGAAGCUGCAUGCGCACUUGAAGAGGACGACUAUCCCUCGUAGAGGAGGACCAUUCUUCAGUCAAGGGUAUACGAAUAGCUGUGCUCCUCUGCUCGAAUCUGCAAACAAGCUCUCAAAAUUAAUCCUAUGCCCACUGUAACUAUUGAUGGAAUUGGGGUAAAAAACAUGAUGUGACCCAAUUUACAUUUUGCUUCUGAGUUUUGGUGGAUAGAUUCUUUGGGGAGAA
Gorilla gorilla gorilla (western lowland gorilla) is the source of this 349-nucleotide unclassified non-coding RNA. Its record names the gene 7SK. It matches the Rfam family "7SK RNA". From Rfam's summary of the family: 7SK was discovered as an abundant small nuclear RNA in the mid-70s but a possible function has only recently been suggested. Lineage: Eukaryota; Metazoa; Chordata; Mammalia; Primates; Hominidae. The record is from Ensembl.